Molecule: ribosomal RNA, 405 nt
Filed under: uncultured bacterium
Lineage: Bacteria
Description: partial 16S ribosomal RNA
Rfam family: Bacterial small subunit ribosomal RNA
Source: RNAcentral
GACGAACGCUGGAGGCGUGCUUAACACAUGCAAGUCGAGCGGAGAGGCGAACGGGGGAGGAACGCGUGAGUAACUGCCCCCCUCUCUGGGAUAACAGUUGGAAACGGCUGCUAAUACCGGAUAGUGGGGGAUGACUCGCGUCCUAUCAGCUUGUUGGUGGGGUAGUGGCCAACCAAGGAGCCGACGGAUAGACGGCCUGAGAGGGCGACGGGCCACAAUGUGCUGAGGUACGGCCCAAACUCCUACGGUAGGCAGCAGUGUGUAAUAUUGCACAACGGGCGAAACCCUGAUGCAGCACCGCCGCGUGCGGGAUGACGUCCUUCUGUUUGUAAACCGCUUUCAGCCAGGACGCGUUAGUUGCAGAAGAAGCACCGGCUCACUACGUGCCAGCAGCCGCGGUAAUAC